Molecule: ribosomal RNA, 439 nt
Filed under: uncultured bacterium
Lineage: Bacteria
Description: partial 16S ribosomal RNA
Rfam family: Bacterial small subunit ribosomal RNA
Source: RNAcentral
CUACGGGUCGCACCAGUAGGGAAUAUUGGACAAUGGGCGAAAGCCUGAUCCAGCCAUGCCGCGUGAGUGACGAAGGCCUUAGGGUUGUAAAGCUCUUUUGGCGGGGAAGAUAAUGACGGUACCCGCAGAAUAAGCUCCGGCUAACUUCGUGCCAGCAGCCGCGGUAAUACGAAGGGAGCUAGCGUUGUUCGGAAUCACUGGGCGUAAAGCGCACGUAGGCGGAUCGUUAAGUCGAGGGUGAAAUCCCGGGGCUCAACCUCGGAACUGCCUUCGAUACUGGCGAUCUUGAGUCCGGGAGAGGUGGGUGGAAUUCCUAGUGUAGAGGUGAAAUUCGUAGAUAUUAGGAAGAACACCAGUGGCGAAGGCGGCCCACUGGCCCGAGACUGACGCUGAGGUGCGAAAGCGUGGGGAGCAAACAGGAUUAGAUACCCCUGUAGUC